Molecule: long non-coding RNA, 295 nt
Organism: Mauremys mutica (yellowpond turtle)
Lineage: Eukaryota; Metazoa; Chordata; Testudines; Geoemydidae
Exons: 3
Source: RefSeq, a predicted model, not a curated record
AUCAAGUUCUUCAAGAACUUGGAGUCUUCAGGGAGAAAAAAAACCCCAUGCAGCAACAGCAGGGCUAAUGCUCUUGGCAGUGAAGCAGAUACACUGGAUUAAAGUAAACCCAGGAGCCAAGAAGUUAUACUGCGUAUAGAGACCACAUGUAAUUGCUUUUUUGGACACCUAGAAUAUUCUUAUUUAUCCUGCUCUUUGUAAUUGCCUCAUCGCCCCCUUACCACUGCUAGUGGAUGAUUAUUACAGCACCACUGUGAAUUCCAGAUGCUGCUGCAUACCCCAGACUCUUACAGAC